Molecule: long non-coding RNA, 3963 nt
Organism: Cavia porcellus (domestic guinea pig)
Lineage: Eukaryota; Metazoa; Chordata; Mammalia; Rodentia; Caviidae
Exons: 5
Source: RefSeq, a predicted model, not a curated record
GUCUUUGCUCCAUUAAAUCAAAGAAUAACUGUAACAACUACAGCUUAACAGUAGGUCUACAAGUAUCUUAACUUAGACUGUCUAAAAUGCUGUUUGAGCAGUGUUAUGGAUUGAGAACUGGUGGUCAACUUAACGCCAGCUGAAUUACAUCAGCAUGCAUUGAGCGAAGAUGCUCCACCUGAGGAGGGUUGCCAGGAUAAAUAGGUGGAGAAGAAGAGAGGUGUUGGAGGGUUGAGGUGUUAAGGAGGCAUUGUGGGUACUCCUCCGAGUUGCUGUCUGAGCUGUUGGUUCUCCUGGAGAAGCUUUGGUCCUCACAUUGAGCAUUGCUUUCUGGCUCCAGAGGGGAAGACAUGUGCUGCUUGGUCUCCAGGAUGAACUCGUCACGCUGCUUCCUGCCAUGCCACAAUUCUAUCAUAUGGUUCCCUGACCAGGAACAGCAGAUGAGCGACUCCUGGGAUCCUCCCAGUCUGAGUCCCCUGCUGUCACAGACCAAACUGCAUCCUGGAUUAAUUCCUCACUACUUCUACACUCAGGAGCUGUAAACUUGUUGCCAAUAGUUCGCAAACAACACCGGCCCAAUUUAUCACAGGGGAAGUGUCGACUUUCUACUCAUCACCCCACCACAGCCCAGACUGCUUACAUCCCAUGUUCAUCUCUCUCUCACUCCACUGGCCACAGAGGAAGAAGAAUUGUGCUGUUCCACUCACUACCUUCACUGAAGCACUGCAGUCCCUAACCUUUUAGUCGCUGGAGAUUCCAGUUAGUACCUACUGUGCAGGACACAAAAAAGAAGAACAAAACUGGGGACACAUUGUGGAGGCAGCAGGUUUCUGGUCACUUGCCUCUGUGAGUGCUGGCGAAAUUUGCUGCCAGACUGAAGCAUCCUCUGUUUGGAACAAGGCUAAAGAGUUGCUUCAAGGUUCAAGGGGUGAAAAGAUUCGAUCCAUCACACUCACUGUGAUGCACUGCCCUCACCAGAGGUAGAGGACCGUAAGGACACUUGAUCUUGGACUGGUACCUCCAAACCUGUACACUAACAGUUCCUAAAAAUAAAGAAGUCCCAGAAGACUUUAUAACACCCUGUACAAAAAAAAAUCUCUCUGAAGAGCAAAUACUGGAGUGAUGAUGAAAUUUAGGAAGAUUUAUUUUUAUUUAGAAAGGGUUUAACAAAAGUUGGAUGAGCAUUUAUUCCUGCAAGUUAAAGACAGCGGGAAGACCUAAGUUGCAAUCAAACAUGAUCCAUGCUUUGGACUAACUAGUUCUCUGAGGUCGGAGCCUGGAGAAGGAAGAAGAGAGAAUUAUAUUAGUACCCAUCGCUUCCUGAACACAAAACAGUUAUGAUUUGAAAAUAUGGUAAAUGAUUAAAUUUUUAAAAAAUGUAUUAUGGUAAAAGAGAUGUUAGUCCCCCUCACUAUGACCCUCUUUCUUCAAACACACUUAUUCUAUCUCUUUGCCACUUUCUGAAACAGUUCUGGGACUCCUGUCUCUCGAGUGUCUUUAGUUGUGUGGUCAGACUGCUUGAAAGUCCUGAAUUGAUCCAAAACAUUUACCUUUUGUGGUCAUUUUGGUUUUGGGGAAAGAGCCAAAACUCACACUGUGCCAGAUCUGGUGAAUAAGGCAGACAAGGACACACCACGCGCUUUUACAAGCCUGCCUUUUUCCUGGCUGGCACUCAGCAGCUGCAUUCACUGUAUUUUUGGUCACUUCUUAUAAAGGCACUCAGACAAGAGCUUCCAGAAUUGCUUCAAUGAGUAGCUACCCUCACUCUGCCUUAAAGAGUGCUCUAAUACUUCAGUUUAAGCCACAGAAUGGCUCUGAAGUUAGUGUCAUUAUUGUUUGUUGUAAGUGAGGCACUGAACUUCAAGCUAAAGUGCUUUGCCUAUAGUUACAGAGCUUGUAAGGAAAAAGCCUGAUUUUAAAUGCAGGUAGUUUGCCUCCAGAUCUGUGAACAAGCCUCUCUACAACAGGGCUAGGAGACCACAUACGAAUCACCCCAGUGCUUCCAGUGCAUUGCAGUCCCUGGAUUUUUCCUCUGCUCAGGCUAGAAUGGCAGGCUGAUUUAGCGAGAGAUCGCUUGCUCUCUGAUCCUGGUUACAGAGCUUGUUAUUAAAAUAAAUAAGACGUUUAAAACCAGAGCCAAAACUAUGAAACUUUUAUGACCUAUCUUUUAGUCAAGAUGCUGUACUGUGGAAGAAUGUCAAAAGAAGUUCUUAUGAAAUCACAUCUUUUAGACCUUCCAUAUAAUUUCUUUCUCUUUAUUGGAGUCAAGAAAGGUAAAAAUAACAGUGUUUUAUUUUCACUGGAAAUAUUAUAAUCUCAACUGGGGCAAGAAUUGAGAAAUGUCUGUUGAGCAAGUUUUUGCUCCACACUAUGAUUUGAUGCAGAAAGGGCAACAUGUGAUUUGCUAUAUUUUUAAUAUUUGCUAACAGUUGUAUAAUUUAUCAUAAUUCAACCUGUGCUCAUCAUAAUACACUAAAUCUUAAUAACAGAAUCACUCAUCUCAGUAAUUUUCAAGAAUUCCUUGUUGCAUACCUCAAAUUGCAUUGUUACUAAACAAAAGAUAUAAAAGUAAUUUGGUGUCAGAUUUAUGCCUUUCAUGAGUUACACCCAAUCCAACCUCAACAAAUGGAAGAGUGACACAAGCCUUUUACUUGUAGUACAGAUUUUAAAAGACCACUCUGUUGUUAAUAUUUAGCCUUACUAUCUUACCAUUAUAAUUUCAAAAAAAACCAAAGGCAAUAUUUACCCAUGCUGGCUGGGAAUAGGAAGUACAUUUCAGAUAAAAUUAUUGCUUUGGCCUUCUCCUAAGAGGCAUUUUAGAAUGUAGUCUUAGCAAGAAACCUUACCAUAGUCUCUUAAAUGAAAUGCACUGUGGGAAAGAGAAACUUUCAAGAAGACUGAAAGUCCAAGGGGUAUUUACAUUCUCAAAUGUGAUUUUUUGAUGGAUUCCAUGUUCCACAAAGAGAUGAAUUGUGCACUUAGAGAUAUUCAUUUUAUUUUUUGCCAAUUUUUAUUAUCUGUUUUAUAUCAUGACUAAAGUGUACGUCUUGGUUAAGUUUCAGAACAUGAUUUAGGAUGACCAAGUGUGCUGGCUGCCUCGGGUUGAGGGAUUUUUUGUGAUGUGGGAUUUUCAGUGCUAAAAUCAGGACAAGUCCAGGAAAAUCAGAACAGUUGGUCACUCCAGGAUGAUGUGUUUUCUUUUUGUUUUUCUUUGCUUUUGACCUGAAUACAGCUCCAUGUUUAAACAAACCAGGGAAGACUUCCAUCCCUUGUCUGCAGAAUCAUAAUUUCCUGAGAUCUCAGACAUCUGUUAUUUUGAAAGUUACAGACCUUUCUGGCUAAUGUGAUGAGUAGCCAGGCUUGACAGUAUCUGAGACAGUGAAAGCAGCUAAUGAUAUCAAUGGAAAUUGCAAAAAUAAAAAUUUUCUUUUUCUAAGUUAUUGCAGUAUCACUGCAGGUAUGUAUUUAAAAACACAAAAGAAUGGCUUCUGUGAUGAGAAAACCUGCUAAAAAUCUUAAUUCACAAAGUGCACACUUUUUUGAAAUGAGAAUUUUAUACAAAACUCCAGAGACUAAAACAUCAGCUACCUAAGUGGCUUUGAAAAAUUGGGGCUGGGGGCUGGGGAUUUAGCUCAGUGGCAUAAGCGCCUGCCUUGGAAGCAGGCAGUCGUGAGUUCGAUCCCUGGUACCGAUAAAAAAAAAGGAAAAAAAAAAAAAAAAAGACAAAAGAAAAAUUGGGGAUGACAUUUAGGUUAGAUUAUCUUGCUGUGACUUCCUUCCAUCUCCCACGGCCCAAGGAGGGAGACAUAGUAAAUAGUACUCUGAACCGCUUCCUUCACUCUCAAAAUCUGCAAAUAAAAUGUUAGAUUUUCUUAAUUCACACUUCAGAUGUCUAAUUUUUUUUAAACUGAGGUUUAGAUUUUUCAUUAUAAUUCAUACUUAUUCAAGAACAUUUGAAAAGAA